Molecule: long non-coding RNA, 506 nt
Organism: Solanum stenotomum
Lineage: Eukaryota; Viridiplantae; Streptophyta; Magnoliopsida; Solanales; Solanaceae
Exons: 3
Source: RefSeq, a predicted model, not a curated record
AACAUUACUAUAGGUGGAAGUUGACACAAGUUUAUCAGAUUUUUUGGGUGGUGGUCUCGAUUGCUCCGGCUUGGCAUCUUUGUGAUGCAGAAGCCGAUAGGGUGUUCCAGCCCCUUCAAGCGGCAGAGUAAAAUUCGUUCUAAUGUCAAAUUUUGACAUCCUAUUGAGACCAAUGUUAAGGACUCUAAACUAUGAUCACUGAUUUGAUGUCGUUAGAUACAACAUGUCGUAGUUUCAGCUGACCGAUCAAAUGAACUUAGAUAACAGGUUAUGGAGAACUCGAAUUAGGUUAAAAGGUUAGUUACGUAGUUUAGUGUUAUUUCGACUUCUUUGUAGUUUCUUGUUGUUUGAUUCUGUCACUAUUUGACAUUUGUUGUACUUUGAUUAUUGUCUUAUUUUGUCGUAGUUAUUGUUACAUUUUAAGAAGAUAGGAGUUCUCACAUGCUUUUUCUUUUUUUCCAACUACUUUUUCUCCGGACCUCACUUAUGGGAUUAUACUGACUAUG